This 73-nucleotide transfer RNA is filed under the name Trachypithecus barbei. Its description in RNAcentral is "tRNA-Asn". It matches the Rfam family "tRNA". Rfam says of the family: Transfer RNA (tRNA) molecules are approximately 80 nucleotides in length. The record is from RNAcentral. RNAcentral also lists the same sequence under 2 other names. Lineage: Eukaryota; Metazoa; Chordata; Mammalia; Primates; Cercopithecidae.
UAGAUUAAAGCCAGUUGAUUAGGGCAUUUAGCUGUUAACUAAAUUUUUGUGGGUUUAAGUCCCAUUAAUCUAG